RNAcentral lists this ribosomal RNA (814 nucleotides) under Pyricularia pennisetigena. RNAcentral describes it as "partial large subunit ribosomal RNA". It matches the Rfam family "Eukaryotic large subunit ribosomal RNA", at positions 112 to 955 of the family's 3401-position model. Lineage: Eukaryota; Fungi; Ascomycota; Sordariomycetes; Magnaporthales; Pyriculariaceae. The record is from RNAcentral.
AAUUUGAAAUCUGGCCCCCCGGCCCGAGUUGUAAUUUGCAGAGGAUGCUUUUGGUGAGGCACCCACCGAGUCCCCUGGAAUGGGGCGCCAUAGAGGGUGAGAGCCCCGUAUGGUAGGACGCCGAACCUCUGUAAAGCUCCUUCGACGAGUCGAGUAGUUUGGGAAUGCUGCUCUAAAUGGGAGGUAAAUUUCUUCUAAAGCUAAAUACCGGCCAGAGACCGAUAGCGCACAAGUAGAGUGAUCGAAAGAUGAAAAGCACUUUGAAAAGAGGGUUAAAAAGUACGUGAAAUUGUUGAAAGGGAAGCGCUUGUGACCAGACUUGCGCCGGGCGGAUCAUCCAGCGUUCUCGCUGGUGCACUCCGCCCGGUUCAGGCCAGCAUCGGUUUUCGCCGGGGGACAAAGGCUUCGGGAACGUGGCUCCUCUCGGGGAGUGUUAUAGCCCGUUGCGUAAUACCCCGGCGGGGACCGACGACCGCGCUUCGGCAAGGAUGCUGGCGUAAUGGUCAUCAGCGACCCGUCUUGAAACACGGACCGAGGAGUCAAGCAUUAGUGCGAGUGUUUGGGUGUAAAACCCGCACGCGUAAUGAAAGUGAACGUAGGUGAGAGCUUCGGCGCAUCAUCGACCGAUCCUGAUGUUUUCGGAAGGAUUUGAGUAGGAGCAUUAACGCUUGGACCCGAAAGAUGGUGAACUAUACUUGAAUAGGGUGAAGCCAGAGGAAACUCUGGUGGAGGCUCGCAGCGGUUCUGACGUGCAAAUCGAUCGUCAAAUUUGAGUAUAGGGGCGAAAGACUAAUCGAACCAUCUAGUAGCUGGU